GUCCACGCCCUAAACGAUGCGAACUGGAUGUUGGGAGCAAUUAGGCUCUCAGUAUCGAAGCUAACGCGUUAAGUUCGCCGCCUGGGGAGUACGGUCGCAAGACUGAAACUCAAAAGGAAUUGACGGGGGCCCGCACAAGCGGUGGAGUAUGUGGUUUAAUUCGAUGCAACGCGAAGAACCUUACCUGGCCUUGACAUCCACGGAACUUACCAGAGAUGGUUUGGUGCCUUCGGGAACCGUGAGACAGGUGCUGCAUGGCUGUCGU
This 265-nucleotide ribosomal RNA is filed under the name uncultured bacterium. RNAcentral's name for it is "partial 16S ribosomal RNA". It matches the Rfam family "Bacterial small subunit ribosomal RNA", at positions 793 to 1055 of the family's 1533-position model. The record is from RNAcentral.